Molecule: ribosomal RNA, 292 nt
Filed under: uncultured bacterium
Lineage: Bacteria
Description: partial 16S ribosomal RNA
Source: RNAcentral
GGACUACACGGGUUUCUAAUCCUGUUUGCUCCCCACGCUUUCGUAGUUGAGUGUCAGUGCUUGUCCAGCUAGCCGCCUUCGCCUCUGGUGUUCCUCCCGAUCUCUACGCAUUUCACCGCUACACCGGGAAUUCCGCUAGCCUCUCCAAGACUCCAGUCUUACCGUUUGCGGGGCACUUCUUGAGUUAAGCCCAAGGCUUUCACCCCACACAAAUAAGACCACCUACCUACCCUUUACGCCCAAUAAUUCCGAGCAACGCUUGCACCCUCCGUAUUACCGCGGCUGCUGGCAC